UCGGUGGGGGAUGGGCUCGCGGCCUAUCAGCUUGUUGGUGGGGUAAUGGCCUACCAAGGCGUCGACGGGUAGCCGGCCUGAGAGGGCGACCGGCCACACUGGGACUGAGACACGGCCCAG
This 120-nucleotide ribosomal RNA is filed under the name uncultured bacterium. RNAcentral's name for it is "partial 16S ribosomal RNA". It matches the Rfam family "Bacterial small subunit ribosomal RNA", at positions 215 to 334 of the family's 1533-position model. The record is from RNAcentral.